This 500-nucleotide ribosomal RNA is filed under the name uncultured bacterium. RNAcentral's name for it is "partial 16S ribosomal RNA". It matches the Rfam family "Bacterial small subunit ribosomal RNA", at positions 30 to 523 of the family's 1533-position model. The record is from RNAcentral.
AUUGAGCGCUGGCGGAAUGCUUUACACAUGCAAGUCGAACGGCAGCACGGACUUCGGUCUGGUGGCGAGUGGCGAACGGGUGAGUAAUGUAUCGGAACGUGCCCAGUCGUGGGGGAUAACGUAGUGAAAAUUACGCUAAUACCGCAUACGAUCUAUGGAUGAAAGCGGGGGAUCGCAAGACCUCGCGCGAUUGGAGCGGCCGAUAUCAGAUUAGGUAGUUGGUGGGGUAAAGGCCCACCAAGCCAACGAUCUGUAGCUGGUCUGAGAGGACGACCAGCCACACUGGAACUGAGAAACGGUCCAGAAGCCUACGGGAGGCAGCAGUGGGGAAUUUUGGACAAUGGGCGAAAGCCUGAUCCAGCCAUUCCGCGUGCAGGAUGAAGGCCCUCGGGUUGUAAACUGCUUUUGUACAGAACGAAAAGGUUUCUACUAAUACUAGGAGCUCAUGACGGUACUGUAAGAAUAAGCACCGGCUAACUACGUGCCAGCCGCCGCCGUAA